Molecule: ribosomal RNA, 475 nt
Filed under: uncultured bacterium
Lineage: Bacteria
Description: bacterial SSU rRNA
Rfam family: Bacterial small subunit ribosomal RNA
Source: RNAcentral
AACGAACGCUGGCGGCAUGCCUAACACAUGCAAGUCGAACGAGACCCCUGACUUCGGUUGGCGGGUCUAGUGGCGCACGGGUGCGUAACGCGUGGGAAUCUGCCCCUUGGGUUCGGAAUAACUCAGAGAAAUUUGAGCUAAUACCGGAUGAUGACGAAAGUCCAAAGAUUUAUCGCCCAGGGAUGAGCCCGCGUAAGAUUAGCUUGUUGGUGGGGUAAUGGCCUACCAAGGCGACGAUCUUUAGCUGGUCUGAGAGGAUGAUCAGCCACACUGGGACUGAGACACGGCCCAGACUCCUACGGGAGGCAGCAGUGGGGAAUAUUGGACAAUGGGCGCAAGCCUGAUCCAGCAAUGCCGCGUGAGUGAUGAAGGCCUUAGGGUUGUAAAGCUCUUUUACCAGGGAUGAUAAUGACAGUACCUGGAGAAUAAGCUCCGGCUAACUCCGUGCCAAGCAGCCGCGGUAAUCUGUAGUCGU